RNAcentral lists this transfer RNA (72 nucleotides) under Perkinsus marinus ATCC 50983. It matches the Rfam family "tRNA". From Rfam's summary of the family: Transfer RNA (tRNA) molecules are approximately 80 nucleotides in length. Their secondary structure includes four short double-helical elements and three loops (D, anti-codon, and T loops). Further hydrogen bonds mediate the characteristic L-shaped molecular structure. tRNAs have two regions of fundamental functional importance: the anti-codon, which is responsible for specific mRNA codon recognition, and the 3' end, to which the tRNAs corresponding amino acid is attached (by aminoacyl-tRNA synthetases). tRNAs cope with the degeneracy of the genetic code in two manners: having more than one tRNA (with a specific anti-codon) for a particular amino acid; and 'wobble' base-pairing, i.e. permitting non-standard base-pairing at the 3rd anti-codon position. The record is from Rfam by way of RNAcentral. Lineage: Eukaryota; Perkinsozoa; Perkinsida; Perkinsidae.
GGUUUUAUGGUGUAACGGUUAGCACUCCAUUCUCUGAAUCUGGCGAUCUGGGUUCAAAUCCCGGUAAAGCCU